UCGGGAAUUUUGGGCAAUGGGGGAAACCCUGACCCAGCAACGCCGCGUGAAGGAUGAAGUAUUUCGGUAUGUAAACUUCGAAAGAAUAGGAAGAAUAAAUGACGGUACUAUUUAUAAGGUCCGGCUAACUACGUGCCAGCAGCCGCGGUAAUACGUAGGGACCAAGCGUUGUUCGGAUUUACUGGGCGUAAAGGGCGCGUAGGCGGCAUGACAAGUCACUUGUGAAAUCUCUGGGCUUAACCCAGAACGGCCAAGUGAUACUGUCGCGCUAGAGUGCAGAAGGGGCAAUCGGAAUUCUUGGUGUAGCGGUGAAAUGCGUAGAUAUCAAGAGGAACACCUGAGGUGAAGACGGGUUGCUGGGCUGACACUGACGCUGAGGCGCGAAAGCCAGGGGAGCAAACGGGGAUUAGAUACCCUAGUAGUCCCUGAG
Molecule: ribosomal RNA, 430 nt
Filed under: uncultured bacterium
Lineage: Bacteria
Description: bacterial SSU rRNA
Rfam family: Bacterial small subunit ribosomal RNA
Source: RNAcentral